Molecule: non-coding RNA, 546 nt
Filed under: Pan troglodytes (chimpanzee)
Lineage: Eukaryota; Metazoa; Chordata; Mammalia; Primates; Hominidae
Also listed under: 1 other name
Source: RNAcentral
GGCGCCCGGGAAGAGGUGGUUGUGAGGCAGACGAACUCGCGGCUCUCCGGCUUCCGAGGCUUCCGAGUUGUCGGAGGAAGGGGGCGGCGAGCAAUAAGAACCCGCCGCACCCGGUCCUCAGCGACUCUUCUGACCUCCGCGCGACGUACCCGCCGCCGCCGUUGGCUGGAGGUUUUAUGGCAGGAAUUCUUCCUAUGUUCAUGGUGGAGUAGAUGCUAGUGGAAAGCCCCAGGAAGCUGUUUAUGGCCAAAAUGAUAUACACCACAAAGUAUUAUCUCUGAACUUCAGUGAAUGUCAUACUAAAAUUCGUCAUGUGGAUGCUCAUGCAACCUUGAGUGAUGGAGUAGUUGUCCAGGUCAUGGGUUUGCUGUCUAACAGUGGACAACCAGAAAGAAAGUUUAUGCAAACCUUUGUUCUGGCUCCUGAAGGAUCUGUUCCAAAUAAAUUUUAUGUUCACAAUGAUAUGUUUCGUUAUGAAGAUGAAGUGUUUGGUGAUUCUGAGCCUGAACUUGAUGAAGAAUCAGAAGAUGAAGUAGAAGAGGAACA